GACGUAGGGCGCAAGCGUUGUCCGGAUUUAUUGGGCGUAAAGAGCUCGUAGGCGGCUUGUCGCGUCGAAUGUGAAAACUCGGGGCUCAACCCCGCGCUUGCAUUCGAUACGGGUAGGCUCGAGUUCGGUAGGGGAGACUGGAAUUCCUGGUGUAGCGGUGAAAUGCGCAGAUAUCAGGAGGAACAGCCGGUGGCGAAGGCGGGUCUCUGGGCCGAUACUGACGCUGAGGAGCGAAAGCGUGGGGAGCGAACAGG
RNAcentral lists this ribosomal RNA (254 nucleotides) under uncultured bacterium. RNAcentral describes it as "partial 16S ribosomal RNA". It matches the Rfam family "Bacterial small subunit ribosomal RNA", at positions 524 to 776 of the family's 1533-position model. The record is from RNAcentral.